This 439-nucleotide ribosomal RNA is filed under the name Oxyrrhis marina. RNAcentral's name for it is "partial Bacterial large subunit ribosomal RNA". It matches the Rfam family "Bacterial large subunit ribosomal RNA", at positions 183 to 672 of the family's 2925-position model. Lineage: Eukaryota; Dinophyceae; Oxyrrhinales; Oxyrrhinaceae. The record is from RNAcentral.
ACGCGGAGAACUGAAACAUCUAAGUACCCGGAGGAAAAGAAAUCAACCGAGAUUCCGAUAGUAGCGGCGAGCGAAAUCGGAACAGCCCUUAAGCUUAUUAUGUGUUAAUGGAAGGCUCUGGAAAGUGCCACGAUACAGGGUGAUAGUCCCGUACAUGAAAAGACAUUUUAAGUGAAAUCGAGUAGGUCGGAGCACGUGAAACUUUGACUGAAUAUAGGUGGACCAUCAUCUAAGGCUAAAUACUCCCAACUGACCGAUAGUGAACCAGUACCGUGAGGGAAAGGCGAAAAGAACCCCGGUGAGGGGAGUGAAAUAGAUCCUGAAACCGCGUACGUACAAGCAGUAGGAGCCUCUUUUAUGGGGUGACUGCGUACCUUUUGUAUAAUGGGUCAGCGAGUUAUUGUUAGUAGCAAGGUUAACCGUUUAGGGGAGCCGUAGG